RNAcentral lists this ribosomal RNA (546 nucleotides) under uncultured bacterium. RNAcentral describes it as "bacterial SSU rRNA". It matches the Rfam family "Bacterial small subunit ribosomal RNA", at positions 117 to 678 of the family's 1533-position model. The record is from RNAcentral.
GUGAGCAACCUGCCUACUAGAGGGGAAUAACAGUGAGAAAUCAUUGCUAAUACCGCAUAUGCCAUGAACAUCACAUGAUGAAAAUGGGAAAAGAGUAAUCUGCUAGUAGAUGGGCUCGCGUCUGAUUAGAUAGUUGGUGGGGUAACGGCCUACCAAGUCGACGAUCAGUAGCCGGACUGAGAGGUUGAACGGCCACAUUGGGACUGAGAUACGGCCCAGACUCCUACGGGAGGCAGCAGUCGGGAAUAUUGCGCAAUGGAGGAAACUCUGACGCAGUGACGCCGCGUAUAGGAAGAAGGUUUUCGGAUUGUAAACUAUUGUCGUUAGGGAAGAUACAAGACAGUACCUAAGGAGGAAGCUCCGGCUAACUACGUGCCAGCAGCCGCGGUAAUACGUAGGGAGCAAGCGUUAUCCGGAUUUAUUGGGUGUAAAGGGUGCGUAGACGGGACAACAAGUUAGUUGUGAAAUCCCUCGGCUUAACUGAGGAACUGCAACUAAAACUAUUGUUCUUGAGUGUUGGAGAGGAAAGUGGAAUUCCUAGUGUAG